AGCUCCAAUAGCGUAUAUUAAAGUUGUUGCAGUUAAAAAGCUCGUAGUUGAAUUUCUAGUCAACCGUUAGCUGGCUUCACAGUCGUUAACGAUUGCCUAUCCGACAUUGAACUAUAAUGGUUAUUAAGUUAACCUUAUAGCGAACUGUCAUUUUACUUUGAAAAAAUUAGAGUGUUUCAGGCAGGCAAUUGCCCGAAUAUCUUAGCAUGGAAUAAUGGAAUAGGACUUUGGUUCAUUUGAUUGGUUAUUGAAUCAGAGUAAUGAUUAAUAGGGACAGUUGGGGGCAUUAGUAUUUAAUUGUCAGAGGUGAAAUUCUUGGAUUUAUUAAAGACUAACUUAUGCGAAAGCAUUUGCCAAGGAUGUUUUCA
RNAcentral lists this ribosomal RNA (368 nucleotides) under uncultured eukaryote. RNAcentral's name for it is "SSU rRNA". It matches the Rfam family "Eukaryotic small subunit ribosomal RNA", at positions 587 to 972 of the family's 1831-position model. The record is from RNAcentral.